CUACGGGCCGCUGCAGUGGGGAAUAUUGGACAAUGGGCGCAAGCCUGAUCCAGCAAUUCCGCGUGGAUGAUGAAUGCUUUCGGGUUGUAAAGUCCUUUCAGCAGGGAAGAAGCAAGUGACGGUACCUGCAGAAGAAGCCACGGCUAAUUACGUGCCAGCAGCCGCGGUAAGACGUAAGUGGCAAGCGUUAUCCGGAAUCACUGGGCGUAAAGGGCAUGUAGGCGGCUAAACAAGUCAGAAGUGAAAAGUCUGGGCUCAACCGAGGCCUUGCUUUUGAAACUGUUUAGCUAGAGUACAGGAGAGGAGGGCGGAACUACUAGUGUAGCGGUGAAAUGCGUAGAUAUUAGUAGGAAUGCCAAUGACGAAGGUAGCUCUCUGGACUGAUACUGACGCUGAGGUGCGAAAGCUAGGGGAGCAAACAGGAUUAGAUACCCCGGUAGUC
This 442-nucleotide ribosomal RNA is filed under the name uncultured bacterium. Its description in RNAcentral is "partial 16S ribosomal RNA". It matches the Rfam family "Bacterial small subunit ribosomal RNA", at positions 339 to 795 of the family's 1533-position model. The record is from RNAcentral.